This 253-nucleotide ribosomal RNA is filed under the name uncultured bacterium. RNAcentral describes it as "partial 16S ribosomal RNA". It matches the Rfam family "Bacterial small subunit ribosomal RNA", at positions 524 to 776 of the family's 1533-position model. The record is from RNAcentral.
UACGUAGGGGGCAAGCGUUGUCCGGAAUCAUUGGGCGUAAAGAGCGCGUAGGCGGCCCAGUAAGUCCGCUCUGAAAGCCCGGGGCUCAACCCCGGGAGGCGGGUGGAUACUGCUGAGCUCGAGUCCGGAAGAGGAGUGUGGAAUUCCUGGUGUAGCGGUGAAAUGCGCAGAUAUCAGGAGGAACACCAAUGGCGAAGGCAGCACUCUGGGACGGUACUGACGCUGAGACGCGAAAGCGUGGGGAGCAAACAGG